This 447-nucleotide ribosomal RNA is filed under the name uncultured bacterium. RNAcentral describes it as "SSU rRNA". It matches the Rfam family "Bacterial small subunit ribosomal RNA", at positions 26 to 518 of the family's 1533-position model. The record is from RNAcentral.
AGAACGAACGCUGGCGGCAGGCCUAACACAUGCAAGUCGAACGCCCUAGCAAUAGGGAGUGGCAGACGGGUGAGUAACGCGUGGGAACAUGCCUUUCGGUUCGGAACAACUCGGGGAAACUUGAGCUAAUACCGGAUACGCCCUUUUUGGGGAAAGAUUUAUCGCCGGAAGAUUGGCCCGCGUCUGAUUAGCUAGUUGGCGGGGUAACGGCCCACCAAGGCGACGAUCAGUAGCUGGUCUGAGAGGAUGAUCAGCCACAUUGGGACUGAGACACGGCCCAAACUCCUACGGGAGGCAGCAGUGGGGAAUAUUGGACAAUGGGCGCAAGCCUGAUCCAGCCAUGCCGCGUGAGUGAUGACGGCCUUAGGGUUGUAAAGCUCUUUUGCCUGGGAAGAUAAUGACGGUACCAGGAGAAUAAGCCCGGACUAACUUCGCGCCAGCAGCCGC